CAGUAGCCGCGGUAAUACGUAGGGUGCGAGCGUUAAUCGGAAUUACUGGGCGUAAAGCGUGCGCAGGCGGUCGUGUAAGACAGGUGUGAAAUCCCCGGGCUUAACCUGGGAACUGCGCUUGUGACUGCACAGCUAGAGUAUGGCAGAGGGGGGUGGAAUUCCACGUGUAGCAGUGAAAUGCGUAGAGAUGUGGAGGAACACCGAUGGCGAAGGCAGCCCCCUGGGCCAAUACUGACGCUCAUGCACGAAAGCGUGGGGAGCAAACAGGAUUAGAUACCCCCGUAGUCCCUGUCUCUUAUAC
Molecule: ribosomal RNA, 301 nt
Filed under: uncultured bacterium
Lineage: Bacteria
Description: partial 16S ribosomal RNA
Rfam family: Bacterial small subunit ribosomal RNA
Source: RNAcentral